Drosophila novamexicana is the source of this 979-nucleotide long non-coding RNA. RefSeq lists it as uncharacterized. The transcript has 3 exons. The record is from RefSeq and is a predicted model, not a curated record. Lineage: Eukaryota; Metazoa; Arthropoda; Insecta; Diptera; Drosophilidae.
UAUUUGUGCAGUAAAGCUAUGAGAAUGGCAGGCCAACCCAUUUGUGGACUGGUGCAAUGGCAACAACAGGCUGUGCUAACGCAUUAAUCGCCAAUGCAAGUGUCACAAGUGUCGCCGGCUCAAGGUGAAGUGCAUCGCUCAACCGUAUUUUGCUGUUUGCACACUUGUUUGCCCGCUUGUCAGUCUUUAUGAACGAAUACCCUUUUAGUCGCGAUUAAGGUCGCUGCGCUUCUGUAUAUUUGCAUUAUACGAGUGUUAAUCAAUAUUUAAUUGUGCACUUUUCAGCGUGACCAACGAAGUAGUAUAAUUAUCAAUUUAAUUUUAAGAUUUCGCCCACAUAUCUAUAUACGAAUGUAUAAUGCGUAAACUUGUAUAUAUAGCCGGAAGGUACAUAUACACUUAUAUAUAUAUAAAUAUAUAUAUAUAUGUAUGUAUAUGUACUUGGGAAUACGCAAAUGCAAAGUGCCAACUAAAUGUAUUUGUAAAUACAUACAUAUGUGUACAGCCAAAUGAAUAUAAAAAUCUCAACAGAAUGCAAAACGCGUGUCAAAUAUAUAUGUAUUUUCGUAUUUUCUACUGCCCGGCGUCGAACGCGUGAAGGCGAAUGAAAAUGAAAAGCAAAACAAAGCCCGAUAAACCAAAGCGUAUCCCAAAAUAAAGACAAGUCGCUGAUAUUACAAUUGAUAUUAUACAUGUGUAAAUAUGUUAAUUCGUACUGAAAUUUAACAUUAUAUUUUAUUUAAAAUUUGUUUGGCAAAUUGUAUACAAUAACAUCUGAUAGAGUAUGUGCUCAGUACGUACCCGGGUGUAUGUAUAUACGAUAAGCAUGUGUAUAUACAUAUGUAUAUACAUACUUUAAUGACUUUUAAUCUGCAAAUGCUGUAACUAGGGCAUAUUCUAUAUGCCCAUCUUCUUAACAAAAACAAUAAAGAAAAAAAAACACUUUAUAUAUGUAUAUGUAUAUUGUAUAGUCACAAAA